Molecule: ribosomal RNA, 223 nt
Filed under: uncultured bacterium
Lineage: Bacteria
Description: partial 16S ribosomal RNA
Rfam family: Bacterial small subunit ribosomal RNA
Source: RNAcentral
GAUCAGUGCUAGGAUGAACGCUAGCUACAGGCUUAACACAUGCAAGUCGAGGGGCAGCAUGGUCUUAGCUUGCUAAGGCCGAUGGCGACCGGCGCACGGGUGAGUAACACGUAUCCAACCUGCCGUCUACUCUUGGACAGCCUUCUGAAAGGAAGAUUAAUACAAGAUGGCAUCAUGAGUCCGCAUGUUCACAUGAUUAAAGGUAUUCCGGUAGACGAUGGGG